UGGUGCACGAUGAACCUUACAAUUGUCGGUUUGUCGGUCCUCCUGGCCGACCUGAGCGUUAAAAUCGUGGAUGACGAUCUUGAUGUUUUGGACAGCGAUCGUAUUCUCGUUCCAGCUGCGCCCAGUAUUCGCCUUUUUCGUCACCGGUACUUCCGAGGUGAAGUCUGUGCACGUUGUUUAUACUGAUGUUGAAGAACCAGCCCUUGAUUCUCAAUCGGUAAAUUCGUGGGUCGAUGGACAAUCACCGACCGUGCGCUUUUACAUCUUCCUCAUUACUGUAAAAGCUGUUCCAAGCUCGUGUGGGUCUCCGCAGCUCUGGUAGAUGGUAUCUCAUGUGCCCAUCUUCAUGUGCCUAUGAAAUUUAGAGAUCGGCAGUUCCAUGUCUCAAGUUGUUGUUAGAUCUUGUUGUGCUAGGGUGUCAUACGCACUAUAGGCUUUGGUAUUUGCACAAUAACCCAUGCACUCUGCCUCUUCCGCCGUUUGGUUGUCCAAACACCUCGUCAGAUAUCGGUUGACGCGAUAAGCAGCCGUCGAUACUGCUUCUGUACUCCUUACCCUCCUUACCUUCGCAUCGUUCAGCAUGCACCAUGCUUUGUCCAUCAGUGUGCAUCGUCUCCGCGAUUUCUUUUUGCUGCGGCGGCGUGUACGAACAAGUCGUCUGAUGCGCUCUAGAGAACAGUUCACGACCUUUUUACUCGCAUCGUCGACAAAUGUUGCAGAAUAACGACUGCCUCCGAACGGGCUCACAGAGAUUGGAGUGUACCAACUCCAGCAGCUUCGUGGCUUUUGAAUUGCUGCUCAGGAACGACAAUCGUUCCUGCUUUCCUUUGAGUCACAAUUCUCUAUCGACGAUCGCUUUGUUUGAAAUACCAUAUUUUCAGCCGUUCGCUUCACUAUUAGGGACACUAAUACCGACCUCGAGGUUUGAGUUAUCGGGACCUUCAGCUUUUUUUCUUCAUAGACUGAACAAUUACGGGGCUAACACAGCACUAAUAGGCAUCAUUCCAAUCGUAUUCCGAAUAAGAAUUCUAAAUGUUCUAAGUUCAGGGUGUUUUUCAUUUGUAGUGAGUUCCUUAAUUCUAAAUUUUCAUUUGGAUCAAUAUGUCAUUUGUGGAUUUUUAUAAUAUUAAAAAAAAUAAAAUACUAUGAUUUAUGAUGGGAAGGCCCAUCAGCAAAAUUGCUGCCAAUUAGGAGUCGUUCAUCUCAAAUCCCACGCUUCUGAGCUCGUGACUGUGCAUGUAUGCCUCAACACUGGAACAAUUGACGAGCCACUACGAUGUGAAUUUUCUCAACAAUCCUUAUUUUAUUUCGUAGUAUUCCGUCUCACGACAUAUCUUGACGAAUAUAAUUCCCUAAACUCACUAGGUACAUGACAACGGUUCUCGAAAUUCUCGGACAUCCCACAUUCCCCAGAUCACGCUCCACUUGGUCUAACCACCUCGAUCGUUGCGCCCCCGCUCGUCUUGUUCCUAGCUGAUUCGUAGCGAACACCUGUUUUGCAGGACAGUCUUCCGGCAUUCUUAACAACCUUCUGAAUUCUGGGUUCGCAAGCUCGUGGUUAAUCCUUCGCCUCCACACUCCGUUCUCCUGCACGCCGCCAAAGAUGGUUCUUAACACUCGUUGCUCGAAUACUCCGAGUGUACGCAGGUCCUUCUCGAGCAAUAUCCAUGUCUCGUGCCCGUAGAGAAUAACCGGUCUAAUGAACAUCGUGUACAGGUUUCACUUCGUGCGAGGGCUGAGUCUUCUCGACCGCAGUUGCUUGUGAAGUCCAUAGUAGGCACGACUUCCGCUGAUAACUCGACGCCGGAUCUCACGGCUGGUGUCAUUGUCUGCAGUCACCAGUGAGCCGAGAUAGACAAAGUUUUCCACUAUCUCCAGCUCGUCGCCGUCGAUCGUGACCUUGUUAUUACUAUGAUCUGCCGACUCUAUCAAUGUCAUCAGCAAAGCAGAUAAGUUGACUGGAUCUGUUGAAAAUCGUGCUUCGCAUUUCACUCACUGCUCGUCGAAUAACACCUUCUAGCGUCACGUUGAACAUCAUGCAGGAUAGACCAACUCAGCAAUCCUAUUUUUCUUGUUAGUCCGCUGUUCUGGAAGGCAGUUUUUAAUACAGCCCAUGCGUCCUCGGCCCUAACUGCAUCCUGCAAUAAGCUGUAGCUUCAAACACCCACGACUUGCCCUUUCCACACAGCUUCUCACACGAACGCUUUCUGCUCCGAUCGUACCGCAUCCGCUGGCUGCUUCAUUCCUUUAACACUGUGCGAAGUUCACAUUAUGCUGCGUAAAGGGUACUCUAAAAAAUUGAAAACAUUUCAAAACAUGUGGUUUAGUACAAUUUGUGCUUUCCAUGUGCCUUCGAUAAAUUGUAGGUUGAUGUGGUGAGCCGUUAUUCAGCUUUCAAGUUCCAUAAUGUAUCAAUUGAAGAUUAGAUGCAGAUGUUGCGUUUGUGUUUUGACACGCCUGGUUUUUUAAAUUAUUUUUUGGAACCGAAAGAGAAAUUAAAGGAAUCAGUCCAUUGUGAUUUUGAAAGCCUGUUAUUUAGGAAUCUAGCGUGGUAGGGUACUAUCGCGCAAUUCGAUUGGCGUACAAAUGUAGAAGUUUCUUGAAGCUGUAAGAAAAUACAUUUUAAAAAUUAGUAUUCAGCAAAGGAAGUCAAAGCUUCGAAAUUCUGUAGUUUUGCAUCAGUCUCCGAAAGCCUGAAUAACUUUCUUUUCAGCUUGAUUAUGAGAACGUAUCGAUAAAAACUCAAAUUUUCAGCUAUAUAGCAUGUUAUAACCGCCAUUGGAAAAGCUGAGUACACAUUCAAGAGCCUGUAAUGGAACUUUUGGUUACAUGGGAUGCGUGAGUCAUUUUUUUGAUAACUGUAUUCUGUUGAUUCGAGAAUAUCUUUUUUUAGCAUCUGCCGCAGUUUUGAUGUUUCUCAAAGUUCAGGUAAUCAAUGUUCGAAAAAUAGCAUUUGUCUGCUAGGAAUAACAUAGAACAUUUGAAUCGUUGAAGUCCAAUUUUAACUUAUUCUGGUAUUAUCGUGCUGCUAAUGAUCAAUGUCAACGAGAGAUACUAGCUGUUUGUGAUUCCAUUUUCAAUUCAAUUAAUUUUGGAAGGAAAAUCUUCCUAACAAUUUUUUUUCAUCCAUACUUUUCUACAAAAAUUAAAAUGAACAUUGUUCAUAAAUUUCUGUCCUAACACAAUUAUUAAUCUGUUUAUUCAACCCCUCAUUUCAUUUUCACAGUUCCUCAAGAAAUUGAACCGGCUCGAGCGUGUUGUAGAGGAGGUUAAACUGGUAAUCAAACCGUUCUACAACAAAAAACAGAUCAAUAAGGACGAGUACAAAGAUAUACUGCGACGUGCUGUACCCAAGAUCUGCCACAGUCGAACCGGCGAGAUCAAUCCGAUGAAAAUCCAGAAGCUGAUAACGGCAUACGUGCGUAAAGCCCGGGCUCGGCGACGAUUAGCCAAGAAGGGUGGCAUGCCGGCAGGCGCUCCUGGCACCAACAGUAAUCCUAUCAUCAUCUAAAGGCGCUCAAAGCUCAUGGUAAUGGUAUGGUUUCCAUCAAUCUCUCCCCUGAAUCUGAUCCGGGUCCAUGCGAGGUUACAUAAACCUAAAGUAGGUAUUAAACUUGUGACUCAGGAUCUAGGAGAAGCAAAUGGUUCACACCGAAAGCACGUGUGAAUAUGUAUGGAUAAAAUUUCAACAGACAAUGCGGACAAAAAGUAAGCUUUACUUCCGUUCAAAUGUGUAAUUAUUGUUUUUUCGGCUUCAGUUUUUAUUUUUUGUUUUUUUUUUAAAUGAACAUUACGAAAAAUGCAACACAACCCAAACUUGUGUUGUAGAUUGUAAAAGUUAGCAAUACUUUUGAGAUACAUCCAAACAUAAAACAUGAUGUUUGCAUGGAGUGAUGCGACGAUCGAUUUUCCGACAUAUUCGGAUUAAGCGUCGACAUUCGAGAAAUGUUUGCGAUUGACUAUGUAUGAGGUUUACCUAUAGGAUCGUGUGAAAACAAAAAUAGAUACUUUAACUGAAUCGUAAAAAAUGAUUCCUUAUCGAAAGCAGAACCAUAAGGUUUGUUGUUAGACGCUAAGUUACUGGUAGAACAUACAAUUACGCAUCAAUUUUCACUCAUAAUUGUGGUAGAAUGUUGCUACAGUAAAAGUAUAGUAAAAGGGUAUUUAUAACAUUUAUCAUAAAUAAUAUAUUUAUUCAAUAUACACAAUUAUUAGAUUAAGCUUGAGACGAUUAGAUUAUGCUGAAAUGUAUAACUAAUCACUUAAAAGUAAUUAUCACUGUAAAGUUAAUACUGGAUUCAGUUAUUAUCACAAAUCAAUUUAGAACUACGUUCGCACUAAAUUUAUUAGAAAAGUGAUUUUCAAAUUGGUAAUCUGAAAUUUUCGAAUGCAACAAACUUAAUUGAGCAAACAAAACACUAAACCUUAUGCUUCCUGCUACUAUCGUACUUUUUUCAUUUCAAACGAACCUGUGCAAAUAUUCAUUAAACAUGCAACAUAAACUUAGAAAUUACCCUUUAAACAUACAAUAUCCUCGACAUGGCAACCUCAGAAAAAAGCCAACAGUCGAAAAACUACAUUUGUCGAAACACAUAAAAGAAGAUAUAAAAAUAUCAUUUACGGUCGUCAGAUCAUGAAAUAAGUGACAGAUCGAUGGUUAAUAGUGACAGCUUACCAUCUCACAUGAAGGAAUGAUGCAUAAAUUUUAACGAACAAAAUCAAUCGCGUCGCGAACUACCACAUUGAUUAAGAGAAUAAUAGUUCAACAAGUCGAAAGUGACGUAAAAAAACAUCUGUGGAUCGAUUAUUGCAACAACACCCAGAAGAUUAUCUAUAACGCUAAUAAACAAAACAAAAGUGAAUAGUUUAAGAAAACAUC
Molecule: long non-coding RNA, 4879 nt
Organism: Uranotaenia lowii
Lineage: Eukaryota; Metazoa; Arthropoda; Insecta; Diptera; Culicidae
Exons: 2
Source: RefSeq, a predicted model, not a curated record